This 483-nucleotide ribosomal RNA is filed under the name uncultured bacterium. Its description in RNAcentral is "bacterial SSU rRNA". It matches the Rfam family "Bacterial small subunit ribosomal RNA", at positions 19 to 518 of the family's 1533-position model. The record is from RNAcentral.
CUGGCUCAGGACGAACGCUGGCGGCGUGCCUAACACAUGCAAGUCGAACGGAAAUACGAUUCGGUUGAUUUAGUGGCGAACGGGUGAGUAACGCGUGAGCAACCUGACCUUCAGAGGGGGAUAACAUUUGGAAACAGAUGCUAAUACCGCAUAAGACCACGACCCGACAUCGGGAUGAGGUCAAAGGAGUAAUCCGCUGAGGGAGGGGCUCGCGUCCCAUUAGAUAGAUGGCGGGGUAACGGCCCACCAUGUCGACGAUGGGUAGCCGAGCUGAGAGGCUGAUCGGCCACACUGGAACUGAGACACGGUCCAGACUCCUACGGGAGGCAGCAGUGGGGAAUAUUGGGCAAUGGGCGCAAGCCCUGACCCAGCAACGCCGCGUGAGGGAAGAAGGCUUUCGGGUUGUAAACCUCUAUCCUUGGUGACGAGACAAAUGACGGUAGCCAAGAAGGAAGCCCCGGCUAACUACGUGCCAGCCGCCGC